AUCACUCUCUCCUGCUGCCACGUGAAGAAGAUAUUUGCUUCCCCUUUGCCUUCCACCAUGAUUGUAAGUUUCCUGAGGCCUCCCAUUCAUGCUUCCUGUUAAGCCUGCAGAACCGCUUGGGUCCCAGCUCCAAAAUGUCUCAUUAUCUGUAUUUGAAUAUCCCCAAAUUUGAAAAAUUCAAAAUCUGAAACACUUCUGAUCCCAAGCAUUUCAGACUCCUAAGAGUUAAUACGAAGUAGAAAGAGAAGUUGGAGUUAAGCAGCUCGUUCCAGUUCUGAUUUUGCCAUUUCCUGUCUGAGUGACCUGACUUCCCUCUCUGCCUCCAGCCAUGACUGUAAGUUUCCUGAGGCCCUCACCAGAAGCCGAGCAGAUGUUGGUGCCAUGCUUAUACAGCCUGAAGAACUGUGAGCUGAUUAAAUUUAUUUUCUUUAUAAAUUACCCAGCCUCAGGUGUUUCUUUUGUUUUGAAACAGAGUCUCGUUCUGUCACCCAGGCUGGAGUACAGUGGCGCAAUCUUGGCUCACUGCAACCUCCACCUCCCACAUUCAAGCGAUUCUCCUGUCUCAUACCCCCAAGUAGCUGGGAUUACAGUGUGCACCACCACACCUGGCUAAAUUUUGUAAUUUUAGUAGAGACAGGGUUUUGCUAUGUUGGCCAGGCUGGUCUUAAACUUCUGACCUGAAGUGAUCUGCCUGCCUCAGCCUCCCAAAGUGCUGGGAGUACACGAAUGAUCCACUGUGCCCAGCUAGGUAUUUCUUUACAGCAACGCAAAUGGCCUAACACGAAAAAUUGGUACUGAGGUAUGGGGUGUUGCUAUAACAAUACCUGAAAAUGUGGAAGUGGGUUCAUAACUGGGUAACAGGCAGAGCCUGGAAGAUUUUGAAGGGGUCAUCAGAAGACAGGAAGAUGAGGGAAGGUUUGGAACUUCUUAGAGACUGAUUAAAUGGUUGUGACUAAAAUGCUGAUAGAAAUAUGGAUGGUGAAGGCCGGGCUGACAUGGUCUCAGAUGGAAAGGAGGAAUUUAUAGGAACUGGAGCAAAGGUUACUCAUAUUAUGCCCUAGCAAAGAACCUGGCUGCAUAGUGUCCAUGCUAGGGCUUUGUGGAAGUUUGAACUUGAGAGCAAUGACCUAGGGUAUCUGGUGGAGAAAAUUUCUAAGCAGCAAAGUGUUCAAGAGGUGGUUUGGCUGCUGCUAACAACCUACAAUCAAACAUUGGAGCAAAGGAAUGACUUAGAGUUGGAAUUUAUAAUUACAAGGGAAGCACAGCAUAGUUUGGAAAAUUUGCAGCCUGGCCCUUUGGUAGAGAAGAAAUUCGAGGGGCUAUGGAACAAC
Molecule: long non-coding RNA, 1331 nt
Filed under: Homo sapiens (human)
Lineage: Eukaryota; Metazoa; Chordata; Mammalia; Primates; Hominidae
Description: non-protein coding lnc-CTAGE1-9:12
Source: RNAcentral